GAUUGAACGCUGGCGGCAGGCCUAACACAUGCAAGUCGAACGGUAACAGGAAACAGCUUGCUGUUUCGCUGACGAGUGGCGGACGGGUGAGUAAUGUCUGGGAAACUGCCUGAUGGAGGGGGAUAACUACUGGAAACGGUAGCUAAUACCGCAUAACGUCGCAAGACCAAAGAGGGGGACCCUCGGGCCUCUUGCCAUCGGAUGUGCCCAGAUGGGAUUAGCUUGUUGGUGGGGUAACGGCUCACCAAGGCGACGAUCCCUAGCUGGUCUGAGAGGAUGACCAGCCACACUGGAACUGAGACACGGUCCAGACUCCUACGGGAGGCAGCAGUGGGGAAUAUUGCACAAUGGGCGCAAGCCUGAUGCAGCCAUGCCGCGUGUAUGAAGAAGGCCUUCGGGUUGUAAAGUACUUUCAGCGGGGAGGAAGGGAGUAAAGUUAAUACCUUUGCUCAUUGACGUUACCCGCAGAAGAAGCACCGGCUAACUCCGUG
Molecule: ribosomal RNA, 491 nt
Filed under: uncultured bacterium
Lineage: Bacteria
Description: partial 16S ribosomal RNA
Rfam family: Bacterial small subunit ribosomal RNA
Source: RNAcentral